GAUGAAGAACGUAGCGAAAUGCGAUAAGUAAUGUGAAUUGCAGAAUUCAGUGAAUCAUCGAAUCUUUGAGCGCACAUUGCGCCCGCCAGUAUUCUGGCGGGCAUGCCUGUCCGAGCGUCAUUUCAACCCUCGAACCCCUCCGGGGGGUCGGCGUUGGGGAUCGGGAACCCCUAAGACGGGAUCCCGGCCCCGAAAUACAGUGGCGGUCUCGCCGCAGCCUCUCCUGCGCAGUAGUUUGCACAACUCGCACCGGGAGCGCGGCGCGUCCACGUCCGUAAAACACCCAACUUCUGAAAUGUUGACCUCGGAUCAGGUAGGAAUACCCGCUGAACUUAAGCAUAUCAAUAAGCGGAGGA
RNAcentral lists this unclassified non-coding RNA (356 nucleotides) under soil metagenome. RNAcentral's name for it is "partial contains 5.8S ribosomal RNA, internal transcribed spacer 2, and large subunit ribosomal RNA". The stretch from base 1 to 120 matches the Rfam family "5.8S ribosomal RNA", at positions 35 to 154 of the family's 154-position model. The record is from RNAcentral.